GACGAACGCUGGCGGCGUGCUUAACACAUGCAAGUCGAGCGGAAAGGCCCCUUUGGGGGUACUCGAGCGGCGAACGGGUGAGUAACACGUGAGUAAUCUGCCCUUCACUUUGGGAUAACCCCCGGAAACGGGAGCUAAUACCGGAUACGACCACCGUGGGCAUCCACUGGUGGUGGAAACUUUUUGGGUGGGGGAUGUGCUCGCGGCCUAUCAGCUUGUUGGUGGGGUAAUGGCCUACCAAGGCUUUGACGGGUAGCCGGCCUGAGAGGGUGACCGGCCACACUGGGACUGAGACACGGCCCAGACUCCUACGGGAGGCAGCAGUGGGGAAUAUUGGACAAUGGGCGGAAGCCUGAUCCAGCAACGCCGCGUGAGGGAUGACGGCCUUCGGGUUGUAAACCUCUUUCAGCACCGACGAAGCGCAAGUGACGGUAGGUGCAGAAGAAGGACCGGCCAACUACGUGCCAGCAGCCGCCGCAGUAAAAC
This 486-nucleotide ribosomal RNA is filed under the name uncultured bacterium. RNAcentral describes it as "bacterial SSU rRNA". It matches the Rfam family "Bacterial small subunit ribosomal RNA", at positions 28 to 526 of the family's 1533-position model. The record is from RNAcentral.